This 467-nucleotide ribosomal RNA is filed under the name uncultured bacterium. RNAcentral describes it as "partial 16S ribosomal RNA". It matches the Rfam family "Bacterial small subunit ribosomal RNA", at positions 28 to 507 of the family's 1533-position model. The record is from RNAcentral.
GAUGAACGCUGGCGGCGUGCUUAACACAUGCAAGUCGAACGGAAAGGCCCAAGCUUGCUUGGGUACUCGAGUGGCGAACGGGUGAGUAACACGUGGGUGAUCUGCCCUGCACUUCGGGAUAAGCUUGGGAAACUGGGUCUAAUACCGGAUAGGACCACACUUUGGAUGGUGUGGUGGAAAGUUUUUCGGUGUGGGAUGAGCUCGCGGCCUAUCAGCUUGUUGGUGGGGUAAUGGCCUACCAAGGCGUCGACGGGUAGCCGGCCUGAGAGGGUGUACGGCCACAUUGGGACUGGGAUACGGGCCAGACUCCUACGGGAGGCAGCAGGGUGGAGUAUGGCACAAUGGGCGCGAGCCUGAUGCAGCGACGCCGCGUGGGGGAUGACGGCCUUCGGGUUGUAGACUCCUUUCGCUAGGGACGAAGCGUUUUUGUGACGGUACCUGGAGAAGAAGCACCGGCUAACUACGUG